RNAcentral lists this small RNA (120 nucleotides) under Streptomyces olivoverticillatus. RNAcentral describes it as "Streptomyces-metH RNA". It matches the Rfam family "Streptomyces-metH RNA". Lineage: Bacteria; Bacillati; Actinomycetota; Actinomycetes; Kitasatosporales; Streptomycetaceae. The record is from Rfam by way of RNAcentral.
GCGUCCGCACCGUGGAAUGCCCCCUGCUUCCCGCGCAGCCUGCGGCUACGCUUGCGGCGUACGCCCUCUCCAGGAGGGCGUAAAGCCGACAGCCGUCGCACACCCGGGAGCACACCCAUG